AUCGCUUCUCGGCCUUUUGGCUAAGAUCAAGUGUAGUAUCAAAAUAUAUGUCCAUUUAAUGCUUUCUUAAAACACUGAUUCUCCAGGGGAAAGUAACUUUU
RNAcentral lists this small nuclear RNA (101 nucleotides) under Cervus hanglu yarkandensis (Yarkand deer). RNAcentral's name for it is "U2 spliceosomal RNA (ENSCHYG00000002412.1)". It matches the Rfam family "U2 spliceosomal RNA". Rfam says of the family: U2 is a small nuclear RNA (snRNA) component of the spliceosome (involved in pre-mRNA splicing). The record is from Rfam by way of RNAcentral. Lineage: Eukaryota; Metazoa; Chordata; Mammalia; Artiodactyla; Cervidae.